Molecule: ribosomal RNA, 468 nt
Filed under: uncultured bacterium
Lineage: Bacteria
Description: partial 16S ribosomal RNA
Rfam family: Bacterial small subunit ribosomal RNA
Source: RNAcentral
GACGAACGCUGGCGGCGUGCUUAACACAUGCAAGUCGAACGGAAAGGCCCUGCUUUUGUGGGGUACUCGAGUGGCGAACGGGUGAGUAACACGUGAGUAACCUACCCUUGACUUUGGGAUAACUUCAGGAAACUGGGGCUAAUACCGGAUAGGAGCUCCUGCUGCAUGGUGGGGGUUGGAAAGUUUUGGCGGUUGGGGAUGGACUCGCGGCUUAUCAGCUUGUUGGUGGGGUAGUGGCUCACCAAGGCUUUGACGGGUAGCCGGCCUGAGAGGGUGACCGGCCACAUUGGGACUGAGAUACGGCCCAGACUCCUACGGGAGGCAGCAGUGGGGAAUAUUGCACAAUGGGCGGAAGCCUGAUGCAGCAACGCCGCGUGCGGGAUGACGGCCUUCGGGUUGUAAACCGCUUUCGCCUGUGACGAAGCGUGAGUGACGGUAAUGGGUAAAGAAGCACCGGCUAACUACGUG